Molecule: transfer RNA, 84 nt
Filed under: Saprospiraceae bacterium
Lineage: Bacteria; Pseudomonadati; Bacteroidota; Saprospiria; Saprospirales; Saprospiraceae
Description: tRNA-Leu
Rfam family: tRNA
About the family: Transfer RNA (tRNA) molecules are approximately 80 nucleotides in length.
Source: RNAcentral
GCCGGAAUGGUGGAAUUGGUAGACACGCACGUUUCAGGGGCGUGUGCUCGCAAGGGCAUGUGGGUUCGAGUCCCACUUCCGGCA